GGCAACAGCUCAAAUUUGAAAUCUGGCGUAAGCCCGAGUUGUAAUUUGUAGAGGAUGCUUCUGGGUAGCGGCCGGUCUAAGUUCCUUGGAACAGGACGUCAUAGAGGGUGAGAAUCCCGUAUGUGACUGGCUUGCACCCUCCACGUAGCUCCUUCGACGAGUCGAGUUGUUUGGGAAUGCAGCUCUAAAUGGGAGGUAAAUUUCUUCUAAAGCUAAAUACCGGCCAGAGACCGAUAGCGCACAAGUAGAGUGAUCGAAAGAUGAAAAGCACUUUGGAAAGAGAGUUAAAAAGCACGUGAAAUUGUUGAAAGGGAAGCGCCCGCAACCAGACUUUGCGGCGGUGUUCGGCUGGUCUUCUGACCGGUUUACUCGCCGCCGUGAGGCCAUCAUCGUCUGGGACCGCUGGAUAAGACCUGAGGAAUGUAGCUCCCUUCGGGGUGUGUUAUAGCCUCUGGUGAUGCAGCGCGUCUCGGGCGAGGUCCGCGCUUCGGCAAGGAUGAUGGCGUAAUGGUUGUCGGCGGCCCGUCUUGAAACACGGACCAAGGAGUCUAACAUCUAUGCGAGUGUUCGGGUGUCAAACCCCUACGCGUAAUGAAAGUGAACGGAGGUGGGAACUUUUUGUGCACCAUCGACCGAUCCUGAUGUCCUCGGAUGGAUUUGAGUAAGAGCAUAGCUGUUGGGACCCGAAAGAUGGUGAACUAUGCCUGAAUAGGGUGAAGCCAGAGGAAACUCUGGUGGAGGCUCGCAGCGGUUCUGACGUGCAAAUCGAUCGUCAAAUUUGGGUAUAGGGGCGAAAGACUAAUCGAACCAUCUAGUAGCUGGUUCCUGCCGAAGUU
Molecule: ribosomal RNA, 836 nt
Filed under: Pseudocercospora pseudomyrticola
Lineage: Eukaryota; Fungi; Ascomycota; Dothideomycetes; Mycosphaerellales; Mycosphaerellaceae
Description: partial 28S ribosomal RNA
Rfam family: Eukaryotic large subunit ribosomal RNA
Source: RNAcentral